CUUUCAACAACGGAUCUCUUGGUUCUGGCAUCGAUGAAGAACGCAGCGAAAUGCGAUAAGUAAUGCGAAUUGCAGAAUCCGUGAGUCAUCGAAUCUUUGAACGCACAUUGCGCCCUUUGGUAUUCCGAAGGGCAUGCCUGUUCGAGCGUCAUUACCACCCCUCAAGCUUCGGCUUGGUGUUGGG
This 184-nucleotide ribosomal RNA is filed under the name Rhinocladiella sp. L204. RNAcentral's name for it is "5.8S ribosomal RNA". The stretch from base 1 to 151 matches the Rfam family "5.8S ribosomal RNA". Rfam says of the family: 5.8S ribosomal RNA (5.8S rRNA) is a component of the large subunit of the eukaryotic ribosome. It is transcribed by RNA polymerase I as part of the 45S precursor that also contains 18S and 28S rRNA. Lineage: Eukaryota; Fungi; Ascomycota; Eurotiomycetes; Chaetothyriales; Herpotrichiellaceae. The record is from RNAcentral.